RNAcentral lists this small RNA (576 nucleotides) under Pan troglodytes (chimpanzee). RNAcentral's name for it is "retained intron". Lineage: Eukaryota; Metazoa; Chordata; Mammalia; Primates; Hominidae. The record is from RNAcentral.
GACCAUUCAGAAGGCUGUCCACCCGUCCUCAGCCCCCUCCCUUCGUGGGCUAUCUACUCAGUUGAUCCCUCCCUCGCUGGCUUGGCUCUGACUCCUGCUCAGACCCAUCACCUUUGCCGGCAAUGAUGUCUGGAGAACCCCUGCACGUGAAGACCCCCAUCCGUGACAGCAUGGCCCUGUCCAAAAUGGCCGGCACCAGCGUCUACCUCAAGAUGGACAGUGCCCAGCCCUCCGGCUCCUUCAAGAUCCGGGGCAUUGGGCACUUCUGCAAGAGGGUACGGGACCGGGUCAGCAUUAUCUGGGCAGGGGUGGCAGGUCCUCCUUCCUCAACAGGGCAGGGCCAGUGCUGUGUGAAAUUAAAGGCGUUGUAGGAUAAGCCUACUGACUCCCCACAAGGACUGAGUGUCCACCAUUAGGGCUUCCUCUGUUUGAGGGGUGCCCUUCCAGGAGGGUUCCUUGGGACUGAUCCCAGAGCCAUCAGUCGCCUAUUUUCCUCCACCCUUUCCUGAGCCAGUCUCUUUGGAGAUGGGAGGUGCAGUCUCAGACAAGGGUAGAACAAAUUCUGAGUGAAGGAAA